AGAGCACUCCAGGGAGACUGCCGGUGACAAACCGGAGGAAGGUGGGGAUGACGUCAAGUCCUCAUGGCCCUUAUGGGUAGGGCUUCACACGUCAUACAAUGGUCGGAACAGAGGGUCGCCAACCCGCGAGGGGGAGCCAAUCCCAGAAAACCGAUCGUAGUCCGGAUCGCACUCUGCAACUCGAGUGCGUGAAGCUGGAAUCGCUAGUAAUCGCGGAUCAGCAUGCCGCGGUGAAUACGUUCCCGGGUCUUGUACACACCGCCCGUG
Molecule: ribosomal RNA, 267 nt
Filed under: uncultured Burkholderia sp.
Lineage: Bacteria; Pseudomonadati; Pseudomonadota; Betaproteobacteria; Burkholderiales; Burkholderiaceae
Description: partial 16S ribosomal RNA
Rfam family: Bacterial small subunit ribosomal RNA
Source: RNAcentral